This 293-nucleotide long non-coding RNA is filed under the name Nicotiana tabacum (common tobacco). RNAcentral describes it as "long non-coding RNA (NTAB_LNC018147)". Lineage: Eukaryota; Viridiplantae; Streptophyta; Magnoliopsida; Solanales; Solanaceae. The record is from RNAcentral.
CCGCAUAACGUUCCCGGCUACGGUUACGGUCAGCCACCACCACCUCAGCCGUACUCCACCCCAUACGGCGCUGCUCCACCACCUUCAUCAUCCCCUUACGGUGCCCCACCACCGCCCUCAUCAUCGGCCUACGGUGCCCCACCACCACAAAGUCACUCCUCCGCCCCAUACGGUGCCCCAGCCCCACCACAAAGUCACUCCCCUUACGCCCCCGUCCCCUCUCCAUACUCCACAGGUGCACCAUCUUACGGUAGUGAUCCGCAUAAACCCCCAAAAGAGAACAAACCACAGUC